GAUGAACGCUAGCGGCAGGCCUAAUACAUGCAAGUCGAACGGGAUCUGAGGGUAGCUUGCUACCCGAUUUGAGAGUGGCGCACGGGUGCGUAACGCGUGAGCAACCUACCCAUAUCAGGGGGAUAGCCCGAAGAAAUUCGGAUUAACACCGCAUAAUAAUACGCUAACACAUGUUGAUGUAUUUAAAUAUUUAUAGGAUAUGGAUGGGCUCGCGUAACAUUAGCUAGUUGGUAAGGUAACGGCUUACCAAGGCGACGAUGUCUAGGGGCUCUGAGAGGAGAAUCCCCCACACUGGUACUGAGACACGGACCAGACUCCUACGGGGGGCAGCAGUAAGGAAUACUGGUCAAUGGGCGCAAGCCUGAACCAGCCAUGCCGCGUGCAGGAUGACUGCCCUAUGGGUUGUAAACUGCUUUUGUUAGGGAAUAAACCUUCUUACGUGUAAGGAGCUGAAUGUACCUAAAGAAUAAGGAUCGGCUAACUCCGUGCCAGCCGCCGCAGUAA
Molecule: ribosomal RNA, 504 nt
Filed under: uncultured bacterium
Lineage: Bacteria
Description: partial 16S ribosomal RNA
Rfam family: Bacterial small subunit ribosomal RNA
Source: RNAcentral